CCUACGGGAGGCAGCAGUGAGGAAUAUUGGUCAAUGGUCGGGAGACUGAACCAGCCAAGCCGCGUGAGGGAGGAAGGUACAGAGUAUCGUAAACCUCUUUUGUCAGGGAACAAAGGCGGGGAAGUGUCCCAGGAUGAGUGUACCUGAAGAAAAAGCAUCGGCUAACUCCGUGCCAUCAGACGCGGUAAGACGGAGGAUGGGAGCGUUAUACGGAUGUAUUGGGUUUAAAGGGUGCGCAGGCGGUCUGGUAAGUCAGGGGUAAAAGCCCGGGGCUCAACCCCGGCCCGCCGUUGAAACUGGCAGUCUCGAGUUGGAGAGAAGUAUGCGGAAUGCGCGGUGUAGCGGUGAAAUGCAUAGAUAUCGCGCAGAACUCCGAUUGCGAAGGCAGCAUGCCGGCUCCACACUGACGCUGAGGCACGAAAGCGUGGGUAUCGAACAGGAUUAGAUACCCCAGUAGUC
This 459-nucleotide ribosomal RNA is filed under the name uncultured bacterium. RNAcentral describes it as "partial 16S ribosomal RNA". It matches the Rfam family "Bacterial small subunit ribosomal RNA", at positions 338 to 795 of the family's 1533-position model. The record is from RNAcentral.